Molecule: ribosomal RNA, 119 nt
Filed under: Pteropus alecto (black flying fox)
Lineage: Eukaryota; Metazoa; Chordata; Mammalia; Chiroptera; Pteropodidae
Source: RNAcentral
GUCUACGGUCAUGCUACCUUGUACAAGCCCAGUCCCAUCUGAUCUCGGAAGGUAAGCAGGGUUGGGCCUGGUUAGUACUUGGAUGGGAGACCAUCUAGGAAGACCAGGUGCUGUACGUA